CAGCCGCCGCGGUAAUACAGAGGGUGCGAGCGUUAAUCGGAUUUACUGGGCGUAAAGCGUGCGUAGGUGGCCAAUUAAGUCAAAUGUGAAAUCCCCGAGCUUAACUUGGGAAUUGCAUUCGAUACUGGUUGGCUAGAGUAUGGGAGAGGAUGGUAGAAUUCCAGGUGUAGCGGUGAAAUGCGUAGAGAUCUGGAGGAAUACCGAUGGCGAAGGCAGCCAUCUGGCCUAAUACUGACACUGAGGUACGAAAGCAUGGGGAGCAAACAGG
Molecule: ribosomal RNA, 268 nt
Filed under: uncultured prokaryote
Description: partial 16S ribosomal RNA
Rfam family: Bacterial small subunit ribosomal RNA
Source: RNAcentral